Molecule: long non-coding RNA, 673 nt
Organism: Centruroides sculpturatus (bark scorpion)
Lineage: Eukaryota; Metazoa; Arthropoda; Arachnida; Scorpiones; Buthidae
Exons: 3
Source: RefSeq, a predicted model, not a curated record
AUAUUGAAAUAUAUAAUCCAAAAUACUUGGUGCAACCGUACUGAUAUGUUCUAAUUCGAUUUAUCAACCGAUAUCCAGUUGUGAACCAUUAUCUAGUUAAUGUGUAACGAACUUUAGACUAUUAUUUAAAAGCUUUUUUACUGGAAAAAAAAUAAAUUCUUAUUCUGAUUUCGAUACCAUUCAGAAAAGCCACACACGUUUUCGCAACUCAUUUUUUUACUGUGUUCAACCAUUUCCCCUUUGAAUAUUUUAACAGAAAUUUUUCGUAUUGAUCAUGCUCUAGGAUUUGUAAUUUAAACUAUGCCAUUAUCUUUCGUAGGAUCUACGAUAGGAUUUGCCCAUGGGAAGGAGUUGGAGAUGGCGUCCAAACCAACGGUAGCCCAUUAUUGAUUACCUAUACCCCAGUGCAAUCGCAUUUAGUUAUUUCGUAGAAGAGACGAAAUACAUUUUGGUGCAAUGUUUGUGUCUACAUCCUGUAUAAUUCUAUCAACUUUAGAUUUUUCGAUAAUGCCAGGUUUUAGAUAUAUUUAGAUACUUUUUAUAAGGUAUUGAUAUGUUGACCAAAUAAGGCUCAUUUGAGAGAGUCAUUCGAAAGUUUAAAGAUAUAAAGGAAAAUAAUGUGGCAUAAAAGCAGGGCAACUUAAAGAAAAACGACAAUUUAAUAGAAGAGUGA